Molecule: long non-coding RNA, 604 nt
Organism: Acanthopagrus latus (yellowfin seabream)
Lineage: Eukaryota; Metazoa; Chordata; Actinopteri; Spariformes; Sparidae
Exons: 3
Source: RefSeq, a predicted model, not a curated record
CAAAAUUAAUGGGACACUUGACUCAAAAAUUAUUUCAUGGACAGGUGUGGGCUAUUCCCUCAUUAUGUCAUCACCAGUUAAGCAGAUAAAAGGUCUGGAGUUGAUUCCAGGUGUGACAUUUGCAUUUGGAAUCUGUUGCUGUUACCUCUCACGGUCACUGUCAGUGAAGCAAGCCAUCAUUAGGCUGAAAAAUCAAAACAAACCCAUCAGAGAAAUAGCAAAAACAUUAGGUGUGGCCAAAUCCACUCUUUGGAACAUUCUUCAAAAGAAAGAAUGCACUGAUGAGCUCAGCAACACCAAAAGACCUGGAAGACCACUGAAAACAACAGUGAUGGACAACAGAAGAAUUCUUUCCCUGGUGAAGAAAAACCCCUUCACAACAGUUGGCCAGAUCAACAACACUCUCCAGAAGGAAUAGCCAAAGUUCGACUCAUGAGGAGGACCGUUAUGGAUCUUGUGUAAAGAAAAAAAGUAAGGUUUGCUUAUUAUUCAUAGCAAGAAAAGGAUGUUCUCACAAGAGGUUGGCAUCUUUGGACGAGAGGAAUAUCCAUUCUUCCCCCUCCUUGGCUCCCCCCUCCUCGUUGACCACGUGCUGUAUGGCCCG